RNAcentral lists this long non-coding RNA (419 nucleotides) under Medicago truncatula (barrel medic). Its description in RNAcentral is "lncRNA gene26309". The record is from RNAcentral. Lineage: Eukaryota; Viridiplantae; Streptophyta; Magnoliopsida; Fabales; Fabaceae.
AUGAAGCUGGUUUCUCCCCCCUUUCUUCGCAUGUUAGCACAGAAACAAAAAGGCGGUGGGCCCCAUAUUAAAGCAGUCUCUCUCCCAAAUUUCUUUCCAAACCAAACAGAAGAAGUUUGACAUCUCUCUCCAACUUCUUUCUCUCCAACUCCUCUCUCCCCUUUUUCACCUCAAACAAACACAGUGUAAAUGUUGUGGUUCUUCUUCUUCUUGUAUUGUUCCAAUUCCAUCUCUGAAUAUGGUGAGUGAUUACCAAUUUAAUUAGAAUUUGAAUUUGAAAGAAUAAGGAUAAAAAUGUAUGAAAAAAUAAGUGAAUGUUUUUUUUCUUUAUGAUGAACGAAUGAAAGAAAGGAAAUAAAAAUUCUUAUUUCUUCUUUGUGAUGAAUGAAUGAAUGAAAGAAUAAUAAAUUUAGAGAUGC